CCGACACGGGGAGGUAGUGACAAUAAAUAGCAAUGCUAGACUAAUCUUAGUCCGGCAAUUGGAAUGAGAGCAAUUUAAACCCAUCAUCGAGGAGCCAUUGGAGGGCAAGUCUGGUGCCAGCAGCCGCGGUAAUUCCAGCUCCAAUAGCGUAUAUUAAAGUUGUUGCAGUUAAAAAGCUCGUAGUCUGACCGUUGAUCGGCAUUGAGCGUCCGUGGCUACUGGUCAUGUGUACGCGAGGUGCUGGUCACUACCUUCGGAGGAGCGUUCGUGCUUUUAACUAAGUGCGUGCGGGAUUCCGAUAGUUUACUUUGAGAAAAAUAGAGUGUUCAAAGCAGGCGUUUGCCUUGAAUACAUUAGCAUGGGAUAAUGAAAUAGGACGUUGGUUCUAUUUUGAUGGUUUACGGACCGACGUAAUGAUUAAUAGGGACAGUUGGGGACAUUUAUAUUCCAUGGCUAGAGGUGAAAUUCUUGGAUUCAUGGAAGAUAAACUACUGC
This 495-nucleotide ribosomal RNA is filed under the name uncultured Centroheliozoa. RNAcentral describes it as "SSU rRNA". It matches the Rfam family "Eukaryotic small subunit ribosomal RNA", at positions 451 to 946 of the family's 1831-position model. Lineage: Eukaryota; Centroplasthelida. The record is from RNAcentral.